GCCCCACACUAACAACUAAAGCUAAACCUUUCAGAAUUGAACUAGAUGAUCUUAAGAAGUCAAGGGGAUAGAAGAUUGAUAAAUGGUAUUCUUUGGUGGUCAAUACAGAACUCUGUGUGUUCCCUGUAAGGGCAGACCAACACGAUAAUCUUCCCACUUUUAAAUAAACUGUCUUUACUAAAGGCUGUUCUUCCAGUUGUCAAGGAGAAACUGGUAACUGGAGUGAGACAGUAGGGACACUGUAUAUUUAGGAAUCGGGUUGGGGCUCCUAAAGGACUUGACUUGUGUGGUGACCACUGAGAGAUGAACACAGAUCUUUGGUAAUCUGAUGGCA
Small nucleolar RNA from Suncus etruscus (white-toothed pygmy shrew), 334 nucleotides. Lineage: Eukaryota; Metazoa; Chordata; Mammalia; Eulipotyphla; Soricidae. The record is from RefSeq and is a predicted model, not a curated record.